GUAGGGAAUCUUGCGCAAUGGGCGAAAGCCUGACGCAGCCAUGCCGCGUGAAUGAUGAAGGUCUUAGGAUUGUAAAAUUCUUUCACCGGGGACGAUAAUGACGGUACCCGGAAAAGAAGCUCCGGCUAACUUCGUGCCAGCAGCCGCGGUAAUACGAAGGGGGCUAGCGUUGCUCGGAAUUACUGGGCGUAAAGGGCGCGUAGGCGGAUAUUUAAGUCGGGGGUGAAAGCCCGGGGCUCAACCUCGGAAUAGCCUUCGAUACUGGAUAUCUUGAGUACGGGAGAGGUGUGUGGAACUCCGAGUGUAGAGGUGAAAUUCGUAGAUAUUCGGAAGAACACCAGUGGCGAAGGCGACACACUGGCCCGUUACUGACGCUGAGGCGCGAAAGCGUGGGGAGCAAACAGGAUUAGAAACCCCUGUAGUCC
Molecule: ribosomal RNA, 425 nt
Filed under: uncultured bacterium
Lineage: Bacteria
Description: bacterial SSU rRNA
Rfam family: Bacterial small subunit ribosomal RNA
Source: RNAcentral